GUAAUAUAUAGUUAACGUGCCUCUUAGCCUGGGAUAGCCACUGGAAACGGUGAUUAAUACUGGAUACUCCUUCUAACUUAAUGUUAGUCGGGAAAGGUUUUUCGCUAAGAGAUCGGACUAUAUUGUAUCAGCUAGUUGGGGAGGUAAUGGCUCACCAAGGCAAUGACACAUAGCGGGUUUGAGAGGAUGAUCCGCCACACUGGUACUGAGACACGGACCAGACUCCUACGGGAGGCAGCAGUGAGGAAUAUUGCACAAUGGGGGAAACCCUGAUGCAGCAACGCCGCGUGGAGGAUGACGCAUUUCGGUGUGUAAACUCCUUUUAUAAGAGAAGAAAAUGACGGUAUCUUAUGAAUAAGUCCCGGCUAACUCCGUGCCAGCAGCCGCGGUAAUACGGAGGGGACAAGCGUUAUUCGGAAUCACUGGGCGUAAAGGACGCGUAGGCGGGUUAUUAAGUCGGGUGUGAAAUCCAAUGGCUCAACCAUUGAACUGCAUUCGAAACUGGUGACCUAGAGUAUGGAAGGGGCAGGUGGAAUUAGUGGUGUAGGGGUAAAAUCCGUAGAUAUCACUAGGAAUACCGAAAGCGAAGGCGACCUGCUGGGACAUUACUGACGCUGAGGCGUGAAAGCGUGGGGAGCAAACAGGAUUAGAUACCCUGGUAGUCCACGCCCUAAACGAUGAAUGCUAGUCGUCGGGGAGCUUGUCUCUUCGGUGAUGCACUUAACAGAUUAAGCAUUCCGCCUGGGGAGUACGGUCGCAAGAUUAAAACUCAAAGGAAUAGACGGGGACCCGCACAAGUGGUGGAGCAUGUGGUUUAAUUCGAAGAUACGCGAAGAACCUUACCUAGCCUUGACAUUGAUUGAAUCUUUCAGAGAUGAGAGAGUGCCUUUCGGGGAACAUGAAAACAGUGCUGCACGGCUGUCGUCAGCUCGUGUCGUGAGAUGUUGGUUAAGUCCCGCACGAGCGC
This 967-nucleotide ribosomal RNA is filed under the name uncultured bacterium. Its description in RNAcentral is "bacterial SSU rRNA". It matches the Rfam family "Bacterial small subunit ribosomal RNA", at positions 110 to 1099 of the family's 1533-position model. The record is from RNAcentral.